UACGUAGGGUCCGAGCGUUGUCCGGAAUUACUGGGCGUAAAGAGCUCGUAGGUGGUUUGUCGCGUUGUUCGUGAAAACUCACAGCUUAACUGUGGGCGUGCGGGCGAUACGGGCAGACUAGAGUACUGCAGGGGAGACUGGAAUUCCUGGUGUAGCGGUGGAAUGCGCAGAUAUCAGGAGGAACACCGGUGGCGAAGGCGGGUCUCUGGGCAAUUCCUGACGCUGAGGCGCGAAAGCGUGGGGAGCAAACGGG
Molecule: ribosomal RNA, 253 nt
Filed under: uncultured bacterium
Lineage: Bacteria
Description: partial 16S ribosomal RNA
Rfam family: Bacterial small subunit ribosomal RNA
Source: RNAcentral